AUGGACGCAAGUCUGAUGGAGCAACGCCGCGUGAGUGAAGAAGGCUUUCGGGUCGUAAAACUCUGUUGUUGGAGAAGAAUGGUCGGCAGAGUAACUGUUGUCGGCGUGACGGUAUCCAACCAGAAAGCCACGGCUAACUACGUGCCAGCAGCCGCGGUAAUACGUAGGUGGCAAGCGUUAUCCGGAUUUAUUGGGCGUAAAGCGAGCGCAGGCGGUUUUUUAAGUCUGAUGUGAAAGCCCUCGGCUUAACCGAGGAAGUGCAUCGGAAACUGGGAAACUUGAGUGCAGAAGAGGACAGUGGAACUCCAUGUGUAGCGGUGAAAUGUGUAGAUAUAUGGAAGAACACCAGUGGCGAAGGCGGCUGUCUGGUCUGUAACUGACGCUGAGGCUCGAAAGCAUGGGUAGCGAACAGGAUUAGAUACCCUGGUAGUCCAUGCCGUAAACGAUGAAUGCUAGGUGUUGGAGGGUUUCCGCCCUUCAGUGCCGCAGCUAACGCAUUAAGCAUUCCGCCUGGGGAGUACGACCGCAAGGUUGAAACUCAAAGGAAUUGACGGGGGCCCGCACAAGCGGUGGAGCAUGUGGUUUAAUUCGAAGCAACGCGAAGAACCUUACCAGGUCU
RNAcentral lists this ribosomal RNA (619 nucleotides) under Lacticaseibacillus rhamnosus. Its description in RNAcentral is "bacterial SSU rRNA". It matches the Rfam family "Bacterial small subunit ribosomal RNA", at positions 371 to 981 of the family's 1533-position model. Lineage: Bacteria; Bacillati; Bacillota; Bacilli; Lactobacillales; Lactobacillaceae. The record is from RNAcentral.